RNAcentral lists this long non-coding RNA (473 nucleotides) under Pongo abelii (Sumatran orangutan). Its description in RNAcentral is "lincRNA". The record is from RNAcentral. Lineage: Eukaryota; Metazoa; Chordata; Mammalia; Primates; Hominidae.
CUGCUGUUUGGCACCGGGAGAUGAAUCACUUGCUUUUCAAAUUAGAAUCUUCCUUGAUGUCAGAAAUGUUUCUUCUCUACAAGGAAAUGGAGUCCCAGGUGGAGGGUACCUCGCAGCACACUCUGCAGCCUCCGGCUCUCCCUUCUGAGUCCACCUGCCCGGCCGAUUGGGCUGUGUGGUCACUGUCCUCAAGACCUUGUGUGCCAUGAGGGCUCAGAGCCCUGAGCCUCAGCACAGGAAGUGCCACCCAGGCAGCCAACACCUGCUCAGCGGGCGGACGGCCUUGCCGACUCGGCUUUGCUCCCGGGAGCCCCCUGGAGAAGCCACAGGGAGACGGACAGCCCUGGGCAGCUCCAGCUUGCCAGCUCCACAUCCAAGGUCCUCCUUCUGGGGUGGGGUGAUAGUCUGUUCAAGGCAUAUGCCCAAAAUAACAUUUUUGAAAGUCUUUAAAAAUGGGGUAAAGCUGACGUACC